GAGAAAGCGUUGCCGCAGGCAACGACCCGAAGGGUGAGGCGCGAAGCGACGAAUAAUCCUUCCCCCGCCACCA
This 73-nucleotide small RNA is filed under the name Klebsiella ornithinolytica. Its description in RNAcentral is "Raoultella ornithinolytica partial RtT sRNA". It matches the Rfam family "RtT RNA", at positions 59 to 130 of the family's 130-position model. From Rfam's summary of the family: This family represents a bacterial cis-regulatory element known as RtT RNA. The exact function of RtT is unknown although it is thought that it may be involved in changing the cellular response in relation to amino acid starvation. The record is from RNAcentral. Lineage: Bacteria; Pseudomonadati; Pseudomonadota; Gammaproteobacteria; Enterobacterales; Enterobacteriaceae.